CGGCUCGUCGAGAAGAAUGAGUUUCGGCUCCAGCGCCAUGGCGCGCGCCAGUUCAACGCGCUUGCGCAGGCCGUAGGGGAGGGUGCCGGCGGGCGCCCUGCGCACCGACUGGAGGGCGAGGGAGUCGGUGAUCUCNNNGCGAUGUUCGAGUUCCUCGCGCCGCGCGCCGGUCAGCCAGUACAGCGAUCCGGUGAUGAAAUUGUUUUUCAGCAGGUGAUGCCGCCCGACCAUGAUGUUGUCGAGCACGGUCAUGUG
This 255-nucleotide unclassified non-coding RNA is filed under the name Hevea brasiliensis (rubber tree). Lineage: Eukaryota; Viridiplantae; Streptophyta; Magnoliopsida; Malpighiales; Euphorbiaceae. The record is from RNAcentral.